Stegodyphus dumicola is the source of this 554-nucleotide long non-coding RNA. NCBI's taxonomy places the organism in Eukaryota, Metazoa, Arthropoda, Arachnida, Araneae, Eresidae. The record is from RefSeq and is a predicted model, not a curated record.
UUUUCUUUUUUUUUUUUUAGAUUAAUGUGGAAGAAGUAACUGAAGAAGGCUUGCAAGAAGUAAUCAAGGGAAUAUUUGGAUUCGGAGAAGGUGAAGGAGCUCUUGGAGGAGGUGGGGAUAAUCCUGGAAAAGGUGGUGGAUGGUGGAUUAGGAUAAUAGCACUUUUCAGCUUCUGCAAGAAUUUAUUCAUCAGAGGAUAUAGAGCAGUCGUAAAUGUUUGUAAAACGAUAGUUAGAAAUAUUACAAACAUCGUGAGUGAUUGCUUCAGCUGGAUAGAUUCCUUUUUUAGACGACUAAUGUGAUUUUGAGUUGAAGUAAUGAAAUUCCACCUGGAGGUUUCUAAAGAAUACUGGUGAACUGGUGUUUCUUGCAUGUAUUAACUUUAUUUAAAUGUGUAAUAUUAUAAAUAUAUAAUAUACAAAUAAAAUUUGUUAACAUAUUAGACUGUAAAAUUUACCUAGAUUGCAAAAGCUUUAAUGUUUUUAUUAAUUUUGUGCUUUUUAACUGAAGGAAAUUAUUGUAAUUUUUGCAUUAAAUAAUUCAAUCUGAGAUAA